Molecule: microRNA precursor, 206 nt
Organism: Oryza rufipogon (brownbeard rice)
Lineage: Eukaryota; Viridiplantae; Streptophyta; Magnoliopsida; Poales; Poaceae
Rfam family: MIR812 microRNA precursor family
Source: Rfam
AAAAAGGCAAACCCUGAGUUUCCGUGCCAACGUUUGACUAUCCGUCUUAUAUGAAAUUUUUUUAUAAUUAAUAUUUUCAUUGUUGUUAGAUGAUAAAAUAUGAUUAAUACUUUAUGCGUGACUUAUAUUUUUAAUUUUUUUUAUAAUUUUUUCGAAAAAGACGGACGGUCAAACGUUGGAUACGGAAACCAAGCUUUGUCUUUUUU